RNAcentral lists this ribosomal RNA (663 nucleotides) under uncultured bacterium. RNAcentral's name for it is "bacterial SSU rRNA". It matches the Rfam family "Bacterial small subunit ribosomal RNA", at positions 735 to 1397 of the family's 1533-position model. The record is from RNAcentral.
UGACACUGACACUGAGGUGCGAAAGCGUGGGUAGCAAACAGGAUUAGAUACCCUGGUAGUCCACGCCGUAAACGAUGUCGACCAGCCGUUGGGUGCCUAGCGCACUUUGUGGCGAAGUUAACGCGAUAAGUCGACCGCCUGGGGAGUACGGCCGCAAGGUUAAAACUCAAAUGAAUUGACGGGGGCCCGCACAAGCGGUGGAGCAUGUGGUUUAAUUCGAUGCAACGCGAAGAACCUUACCUACUCUUGACAUCCUGCGAACUUGUGAGAGAUCACUUGGUGCCUUCGGGAGCGCAGAGACAGGUGCUGCAUGGCUGUCGUCAGCUCGUGCUGUGAAAUGUUGGGUUAAGUCCCGUAACGAGCGCAACCCUUGUCCUUAUUUGCCAGCGGGUAAUGCCGGGAACUCUAAGGAGACUGCCGGUGACAAACCGGAGGAAGGUGGGGACGACGUCAAGUCAUCAUGGCCCUUACGAGUAGGGCUACACACGUGCUACAAUGGCCGGUACAAAGGGUUGCGAGCUCGCGAGAGUCAGCUAAUCCCGAAAAGCCGGUCUCAGUCCGGAUCGGAGUCUGCAACUCGACUCCGUGAAGUCGGAAUCGCUAGUAAUCGUGAAUCAGAAUGUCACGGUGAAUACGUUCCCGGGCCUUGUACACACCGCCCGU